AUGGACCACGCGCCACUGCGGUUCUGAGCGCGCCGUCCGCGCCCACCUGACAGCUGCUCGCUACGUUCUGUUCGCC
RNAcentral lists this small RNA (76 nucleotides) under Xanthomonas oryzae. RNAcentral describes it as "sX9". It matches the Rfam family "Xanthomonas sRNA sX9". Lineage: Bacteria; Pseudomonadati; Pseudomonadota; Gammaproteobacteria; Lysobacterales; Lysobacteraceae. The record is from RNAcentral.